This is a long non-coding RNA of Myotis davidii, 1174 nucleotides long. RefSeq lists it as uncharacterized. NCBI's taxonomy places the organism in Eukaryota, Metazoa, Chordata, Mammalia, Chiroptera, Vespertilionidae. The record is from RefSeq and is a predicted model, not a curated record. The transcript is spliced from 2 exons.
GGGGCAGCCGGGCGCGCUGUCUCCCCCACCGCAGGAGGGUCUCCACCACCACGUCUCCGCGGACUGUGGCACAAGUCUCGGCCAAGUUGCGCGUUGGACGCCGAGGCUCCCAGGACCCCGGAGCAACUUGAAGGGUCUCCUGGCUCGUUGACAAUAUCCCUACGCAUCUGGACUUUGGGGCGCUGGGUGCAGCCUGGGGGCGCGUGGAGGGCGGACUGGACCUUUGGGAGAACAGAGCGGCAGAAAUGUAGGUUCCUCGGCUCGAGAGAACUGGCUUCUUGAAGCACUGCCGUCCUACAGUGUGUAAUGGAAAUAGACCUAGGCAAGAAGAGCAUCCCGAUGGUUUUGUCCUUGCAUUUCUUGGGAGCCAGUUUUCUGGAAAAACAACACAUGAUUGGUGAAUGCUCUUUUGAGAAGAAGAAUACUCAAUAUUGGAUAUCAUGAGAGAAGAAUAAGAACUUAGUAUGCCCUUCUGAAUAUUUUCAGUGAUGUCAGCUUGUGAGAGCAGUCAGCCUCUCACAGACAAGUUAUAUCAAAGACUAUUCAGCAUCCAAGAACCUGUGGAGGCUCUGUUGUAGAGAACCGGGAUCUCAGGAACAUGGAGACCCAAAUCAUUACUGCCGCAAACCACUACUCUCAUGUCAUAACUACACAUGUAAAUGAGACCAAUCCUGAAUUAAAUAAUGAGUUUUUUAAAGAAUUAACUUGGGAAAUGUCAAGUCUCAAUCCUUUUCCAUUGGAUGAAAUGGGUAUAUUUUCCUGCAUUGGAAUUGUGUAUUCUCAUAAUGUUCUUGAAAGCAUAAAAUUGGAACAUUUAAAAAAUGUGUUGUUUUUUUUUUUCUGGCAGUUUCUAAAGAGUGUAAAAACACGUUACCUUGCAAAGCAUCCUUUUAUCCUCACAGUUUAUUUGUUCUCUUUCAUGAUAAAACAGAGAUGCAUUUGAAAAUAGCACCAGGAACAUGAUGAGUUCAUAGUUUAUUAUUAUAGUUUAUAUCUGCAAUUAUGUAUUUAUUCACAAGUUGAUUUAUUUCAUUGCUAUUGUACUGGUGUCUAUAUCUCAGUCUGUACUAAAUUUAUGGUAAUACUGAUUUCAUUUAGUUUGAAAUUAAGAUUAUAAAAUAGGAUAAUAUUUAGUCAUCCCUCUUUUGUCCUUUCCAAGUGCCAUCACUAGCAA